GUGUCAGCCGCCGCGGUAAUACGUAGGGUGCAAGCGUUAAUCGGAAUUACUGGGCGUAAAGCGUGCGCAGGCGGUUAUGCAAGACAGAGGUGAAAUCCCCGGGCUCAACCUGGGAACUGCCUUUGUGACUGCAUAGCUAGAGUGCGGCAGAGGGGGAUGGAAUUCCGCGUGUAGCAGUGAAAUGCGUAGAUUUGCGGAGGAACACCGAUGGCGAAGGCAAUCCCCUGGGCCUGCACUGACGCUCAUGCACGAAAGCGUGGGGAGCAAACAGGAUUAGAUACCCUGGUAGUCCACGCCCUAAACGAUGUCAACUGGUUGUUGGGAGGGUUUCUUCUCAGUAACGUAGCUAACGCGUGAAGUUGACCGCCUGGGGAGUACGGCCGCAAGGUUGAAACUUAAAUGAAUUGACGG
Molecule: ribosomal RNA, 411 nt
Filed under: uncultured bacterium
Lineage: Bacteria
Description: bacterial SSU rRNA
Rfam family: Bacterial small subunit ribosomal RNA
Source: RNAcentral